Molecule: ribosomal RNA, 465 nt
Filed under: uncultured bacterium
Lineage: Bacteria
Description: partial 16S ribosomal RNA
Rfam family: Bacterial small subunit ribosomal RNA
Source: RNAcentral
ACUACGGGAGGCAGCAGUGGGGAAUAUUGCGCAAUGGGCGAAAGCCUGACGCAGCGACGCCGCGUGAGGGAUGAAGGUCUUCGGAUCGUAAACCUCUGUCAGCAGGGAAGAACGGUCACUGUGCUAAUCAGCAGUGAAUUGACGGUACCUGCAAAGGAAGCACCGGCUAACUCCGUGCCAGCAGCCGCGGUAAUACGGGGGGUGCGAGCGUUAAUCGGAAUUACUGGGCGUAAAGCGCUCGUAGGCGGUAUGUCAAGUCAAGGGUGAAAUCCCCGCGCGCAACGUGGGAACUGCAUUUGAUACUGGCAAACUGGAGUGUGUGAGAGGAUAGUGGAAUUCCAGGUGUAGGAGUGAAAUGCGUAGAUAUCUGGAGGAACAUCAGUGGCGAAGGCGACUAUCUGGCACAUCACUGACGCUGAGGAGCGAAAGCGUGGGUAGCAAACAGGAUUAGAUACCCCGGUAGUC